Long non-coding RNA from Eptesicus fuscus (big brown bat), 1067 nucleotides. RefSeq lists it as uncharacterized. NCBI's taxonomy places the organism in Eukaryota, Metazoa, Chordata, Mammalia, Chiroptera, Vespertilionidae. The record is from RefSeq and is a predicted model, not a curated record. The transcript has 3 exons.
CCCGCCGCCCGAGGGGGCCGGCCGGGCGCCUCCUACCCUCCCGCGCGCUUCCUUACACCGACCCCGAGUGCUCGCCGCUGCCCCGGCUCCGGAAGGGAAACGGACCCGCAACGGAGAGGAGGCUGACGGGCGCGGGAAGGAGGGGUCGCUCGCGCGCCGCUCACCUGGGUGCUGUGGCCGGAGGCCGCCUCACGCGCCGCCCGUGACGUCCCGAGCUCGUGCGCACGCGCCGGCGCGCUAAGCAGCCCCUCCGCGCAGCUCCCGGCGGCGCGCUCGGCUUCCGGGGGCGGGGCGAGCGGAGGGAGGGGCGGGGCCGCCAGUGGAGCGGGACGGGGCGGGGCCGAGCGGCGGGCGUCACAGACCGCGGAGGCCGGGCGGCCUAGGGAGGCUCCGCGGGCCCCGCCCGCGGCUCACCAAUGGGAAGGAACACGUGGCGGAAGUCAUCCUCCGGAGAGCCGUCCGGAUCCGACCGCUGCUGCCCCCGCUGUGAACGGCAAUGCUGAAAAGAAGCAGCAAGAGAUCGGAGAUGUAAGGGGCCGUGAACCAAAGAAAGCAGGCACCUGUGGAAACUGACAAAGGGGAAGAAGAGAUUCUCUCCUGAAGCCUCCAAAAGGAAGACCAGGCCAAGACCUUAAUUUUAGACUUUUGACCUCCAGAACACCAAAAGAUGGAAAAACCCCAAAUGUCCAUCAACAAAGGAAUGGGAAACAAGAUGUGGCGUAUACAAACAAUGGAAUUUUAUUCGGCCUUGGAAAGAGUGGAAUUAUAUACGCUCCAAGAUGGGUGAACCUUGAGGUCAUUAUGUGAAAGAAGGUAUACACAAAGGGGCAAAUAUUAUAGGAUUCCACUUAUAUGUGGUACCCAAAAUAGGCAAGUCAUGGGGAUAAGGGAAUUAGUGUUCAAUGGGCAUUGUUUCUGUAUGGGAUGAUGAAAAUGUUCUGGAGAUGACUAGUGGUGAUGGUUGUGCAACAAUGUGAAUAUACUUAAUGCCACUGAACUGUAUGCUUAAAAAUGAUUAAAAUAGUAAAUUCUGUGUAUAUUAUACCCUGAUGAAAUAAAAAGUAAGA